AAGAUUGCUCUAUCAGAGUGAGGUAGUAGAUUGUAUAGUUGUGGGGUAGUGAUUUUACCCUGUUCAGGAGAUAACUAUACAAUCUAUUGCCUUCCCUGAGGAGUAGAC
Oryctolagus cuniculus (rabbit) is the source of this 108-nucleotide microRNA precursor. Ensembl annotates it as microRNA let-7f-1. Its record names the gene MIRLET7F1. The record is from Ensembl. Lineage: Eukaryota; Metazoa; Chordata; Mammalia; Lagomorpha; Leporidae.